GAUGAACGCUGGCGGCGUGCCUAAUACAUGCAAGUCGAACGGAAAGGCGAUGCUCUUGCGGGGUGCUCGAGUGGCGAACGCGUGAGUAACACGCGUGUAACCUGCACUUGUCUUUGGGAUAUCUCUAGGAAACUGGGGCUCAUAUCCGAUAGGAGCUCCUGCUGCAUGGUGGGGGUUGGAAAGUUUCGGUGGUUGUGGAUGGACUGGCGGCUUACCAGCUUGCUGGUGGGGUAGUGGCUUACCAAGCGUUCGACGGAUAGCCGGCCUGAGAGGGUUGCCGGCCACAAUAGGACUAAGGGACGGAGCAGUCGCCAACGGGAGGCAGCAGGCGGAAGUAUGACGCAAUAAGCGGGAGCCUGAUACAGCGGCGCCGCGUGCGUAAUGACGGCCUACGAGUGAUGAACCGCUUUCGCCGGAGACAAAGCGGGAGUGACGGUAAUGAGUAAAGAAGCACCGGCUAACUACGUG
Molecule: ribosomal RNA, 468 nt
Filed under: uncultured bacterium
Lineage: Bacteria
Description: partial 16S ribosomal RNA
Rfam family: Bacterial small subunit ribosomal RNA
Source: RNAcentral